This 346-nucleotide long non-coding RNA is filed under the name Homo sapiens (human). Its description in RNAcentral is "HSALNT0321947". Lineage: Eukaryota; Metazoa; Chordata; Mammalia; Primates; Hominidae. The record is from RNAcentral.
AGCAUUACUAUCUCCAAAUAAUGUUUUUUCCUCCUGGACUGGGUCACAAUUCGUCAGAUGCUCCACACAGGAACCUCUGGCACAGAUAAGUUAACAGGUUAACAUCCACACAGAGGGAAAUACAGCAUAAGCUAUAUCAAGGAAUUCCUUUCCUGGCACCUUGGCUGGAGAGCCAGAAAGAUUGCUUCUUUCUGUGGUUGAUGUGUUGAGAUAUAAAUGUACACUCAGGUAGGAGCAGCAAUAAAAGAAAUAGGAGGACCUGGAAGGCAUUUAUAUUCCUUACUUUUAGUUGUUUUCCUACAGUCCAGAUGUAUUGCUAUCUUUGGACCCUGUGAAAUGUUCCUUU